UCAUGCUUCGUCGCCCCGCACUUCUCUCCGUGCCGAGGCGUCCGGCGGUGCUCCGCGGCUUGCGCGCCGGCACCCGUGCGGCCAGUGCGCUGGCUCCGAGACUGCAGCCAGCGCUGCAGGCACAGUCGUCUUGUGCAUCCUUCUCCGCGGCGUCUUUGGCCGCUUCUUCUCGCCGCUGGUGCUCGACUGGGUCGUCGUCGAGUGACAAUCCCAGCCGCGGCCAUUCAGAGGCAAAGACGCCGUUGACGGACACAUCAGCCGCAGCGCCCACUGGUCUCGCUGCACACGACGAUGCCACUGCCUCUACCACGACCGUGGCGGAGCAUCUCAAGCACCUCUCCCCGGAAGACCAGCAGCGCAUCAUCGCCGCCCUGCAAGCACCAGAGAAGGAGAAGAGCUCCGUCAUGGGCGGCGCCGGCAUCGGCCCAGCGGAUGGUGACAUGGUGGCCGCUUUCACCUGCGGUCCGUGCGACUACCGCAUGGUGAAGCGCUUCAGCAAGCACGCCUACACAAAGGGCAUUGUCAUCGUGGAGUGCCCCAACUGCCGCGCGAAGCACCUGCUGGCCGACAACCUUGGGUGGAUGGAGGACACGGCCACGAACAUCGAGGACAUCCUGAAGGCCAAGGGCGAGAGCUUCGUCCGCAUUGGCGGAGCGGAGGGCGACUACCAGGUGGUUAUGGACCCAGCGUUGACCACGUCUUCUACGCCGUUCGCCGCAACGCAGCGGCCAUAGGAUGUGCACCGUUGUGCUCCGUCUGCUUUUUUGUGUUGGUCAAUUGCGUGCUACGAAGGCAGGUAUAGGGUUAAGACGAGGGAGGGUGAUAAUGAAGCGAGAGGGGCCUGGGGCAGGCGGCACGGGCGCCUGCAGGACGACACACAAGCGACAGCAGAGAGGGGACGGGAGGGGGCUAUGCGGCUUGCUCCGUGGACCUUCUCCCCUGCCUCUGCUCUUUCACUAGGCGCUGCUGCAGCCCUCCGAUUCUUGUCUGUUCCUGCUGCCCAGGCGGUCUCCUCCUCUUGCAUCGGCCUUUCUCCUAUUCACUGACAUAGGCACAGGCCUCCCAACACCCCAGGCACCUUCUCUCACUCUCCCCCUCUCCCUAUUCGCGCGUGUCCGCCGGCCAUCCCCUCCUCACCUUCUCGCCUCACUGCUCAACAGAGGGGGAGGGGGCUUCUCGACAUCUCUUUAUAUGCCCCAUCGCUAACCCUGCCGGCCGCUUUUUUCUUUCUCAUUUUGUUUGUUUCGGCCCCUCCCCAGUGCACGCGUGUGCAUAGCCCAUGACACAGGCUCCGACGAGCGCGCAUCAGUCGCCGUGCAUAUACUGUACGUCUCCCUCUUGUGGGGAGGGUAUCCGGGUGUGUGCGUUGUGGAACCGAUAAGACACUUGUGAGGUCGUAAGAGAAUGCACAACACG
Molecule: unclassified non-coding RNA, 1416 nt
Filed under: Leishmania donovani
Lineage: Eukaryota; Euglenozoa; Kinetoplastea; Trypanosomatida; Trypanosomatidae
Description: gene:LdHU3.25.1040(CDS-product:DNL_zinc_finger_co ntaining_protein_putative)
Source: RNAcentral